Molecule: long non-coding RNA, 1331 nt
Organism: Leguminivora glycinivorella
Lineage: Eukaryota; Metazoa; Arthropoda; Insecta; Lepidoptera; Tortricidae
Exons: 3
Source: RefSeq, a predicted model, not a curated record
UGCACAAAUUCCUUCAAUGAUAUAUAUUAACUUGUAGUACGCCGUAGUACAUACAGCCCCUAGCCAUGAUAUUUAGAGUAAAUAUUAAAAUUUUUGAACGAAAAUUCAAAAAACGUUGCGUCACAUUUCCGAACGGCGCGUCUCCGUCACGCCGUUCGGCGCUACCAACUUCAUUGUCGUUUUCAUGCAGCCGACGGCCAUUACGCGUCAUCUAAUUUUAAAGUGUUUUCUGCGUAUAAAAGUGGAAAAAAUGCGAAUUAUAAUGUAUCGAAGAAAAUUAGACAGUGUGGAAAGUAAUCUGUUUGAUAAAUUAGGCGAGAAAAUAAGAAGAGUAGGAGAGGAAGAUAGAAGAAAGCCGAUCAACGCGGGCGUCCCUCGCCGCCAUGAUCGCGGGCAUUGCGGACUUUAUUGUUUGCGUUAUCUUACAAGAUCCAAACCGCGCCCUAGGUUUGCCUUAUAUUCGAGAUCACCAUCUCUGCCUGCGGCGUCGAGAAGUAGUAACAGGUCUCCAUUGGUUGUCAUUGAGAUUCUGACGACCUCCAUAAUGAAGCACAAAUGCAAUUGAAGAUCUAAGCGAUGAAGUCUUAACCUCUCGGUGAGGCACUUGAGCAGGUUGUUUUUUGGCAAAAACCUUUUUUCCAGCUUACAAAGAGAUAAAUAAAGAAAAGAAAGGACAAGUCAACUAAGAAACAUCCUGCUCCAGAAGUUACAAAGUAUAAAGCCAUAGAACAGAAAUAAUCUGAAGUCUCAAGCGCAUUAUUUGCCACUGGCUUGGCCCUCAUAACAUUUGCUGAAUGAAUUGGUCAUCUUUUGUGAGACGCAGGGAGUUACAACUUAAAAGGAUGUUUAUAACGUCGGGUCUUUACAAUAAAAUUGUAUGUGGGACCUUAAAAUAUUGUGAUGUUGACUAGUGUUUUUAGAGAAAACAUAGCUAAAAAGUUUUUAAAUGCCAUUGAAUAAUCUAGGGAAGAUCUGAAGAGACCUAAGAAGAUAUAACCUAGUAGAAGAUACAAAUUCAAGGGCCCAACCAAUAACACAGAGACAUACCCAGAGCCCAAGGUCAGAAGCUGUACCACAGGAAACCAUAACAACACCACCUCUUCUGCCAAGCCACAUCAUCAGCGGAGGUGUCGCACUCAGCAAUAUUACUAUUACAAUAGCUGUUAAAUGAUCAGCAACCAGCAGUUUCAGCGACGUGUUAUCCUGUUUGCCGCGGGGCUCUCCGGGCAGCGCUGGCGCUGAAGGGGGCGGCGGUGACGUCAUGCUGCAGUCCCUCGCGCCCAACACCGUCAAGCAGUAUCACACGUACUUGACACGCUGGUAUUAAUAUA